UACAGAGGGGGCGAGCGUUGUUCGGAAUUACUGGGCGUAAAGGGCGCGUAGGCGGCCCGCUAAGUCGAACGUGAAAUCCCCAGGCUCAACCUGGGAACUGCGUCCGAUACUGGCAGGCUUGAAUCCGGGAGAGGGAUGUGGAAUUCCAGGUGUAGCGGUGAAAUGCGUAGAUAUCUGGGGGAACACCGGUGGCGAAGGCGGCAUCCUGGACCGGUAUUGACGCUGAGGCGCGAAAGCUAGGGGAGCAAACGGG
This 253-nucleotide ribosomal RNA is filed under the name uncultured bacterium. RNAcentral describes it as "partial 16S ribosomal RNA". It matches the Rfam family "Bacterial small subunit ribosomal RNA", at positions 524 to 776 of the family's 1533-position model. The record is from RNAcentral.